GACGAACGCUGGCGGCGUGCCUAAUACAUGCAAGUAGAACGCACAGGAUGCACCGUAGUUUACUACACCGUAUUCUGUGAGUUGCGAACGGGUGAGUAACGCGUAGGUAACCUGCCUGGUAGCGGGGGAUAACUAUUGGAAACGAUAGCUAAUACCGUAUAAGAACAUUUACUGCAUGGUAGAUGUUUAAAAGGUGCAAGAGCAUCACUACCAGAUGGACCUGCGUUGUAUUAGCUAGUUGGUGAGGUAACGGCUCACCAAGGCAACGAUACAUAGCCGACCUGAGAGGGUGAUCGGCCACACUGGGACUGAGACACGGCCCAGACUCCUACGGGAGGCAGCAGUAGGGAAUCUUCGGCAAUGGGGGGAACCCUGACCGAGCAACGCCGCGUGAGUGAAGAAGGUUUUCGGAUCGUAAAGCUCUGUUGUUAAGGAAGAACGUGUGUGAGAGUGGAAAGUUCACACAGUGACGGUACUUAACCAGAAAGGGACGGCUAACUACGUGCCAGCAGCCGCGGUAAUACGUAGGUCCCGAGCGUUGUCCGGAUUUAUUGGGCGUAAAGCGAGCGCAGGCGGUUAGAUAAGUCUGAAGUGAAAGGCAGUGGCUCAACCAUUGUAGGCUUUGGAAACUGUUUAACUUGAGUGCAGAAGGGGAGAGUGGAAUUCCAUGUGUAGCGGUGAAAUGCNNAGAUAUAUGGAGGAANNNNGGUGGCGAAAGCGGCUCUCUGGUCUGUAACUGACGCUGAAGCUCGAAAGCGUGGGGAGCGAACAGG
RNAcentral lists this ribosomal RNA (773 nucleotides) under uncultured Streptococcus sp. RNAcentral describes it as "bacterial SSU rRNA". It matches the Rfam family "Bacterial small subunit ribosomal RNA", at positions 28 to 776 of the family's 1533-position model. Lineage: Bacteria; Bacillati; Bacillota; Bacilli; Lactobacillales; Streptococcaceae. The record is from RNAcentral.